Triticum aestivum (bread wheat) is the source of this 2566-nucleotide long non-coding RNA. RefSeq lists it as uncharacterized. The transcript is spliced from 3 exons. The record is from RefSeq and is a predicted model, not a curated record. NCBI's taxonomy places the organism in Eukaryota, Viridiplantae, Streptophyta, Magnoliopsida, Poales, Poaceae.
GCCACCGCGUCGCCUCCAUGAGUCUCGGGGGAGAACCCUAGCCGCCACUCCUUCCCUCCCCUACCUCCUCCAUGUCUCACCGCCGCCGCCGGAGUGCGCUCCUGGGCGAAGCUAGGGCCAACUCCUCCAUGUGUCUCGGGAGAGAAACCUAGCCACCACCCCUUCCAUCCCCUAACUCCUCCAUGUCUCGCCGCCGCCGCCGGAGGGCGCGCCGGAGUGAAGCUAGGGCCAGCCCCAAGGAGGUCAACGACGGGGCACCUGGUUCCGGUCGGCUUGGCGCGGGCGCGCGGCGAAUGCUUGCUGCAACAGCGCUGAGGCACGGACUGUGUUGCCCAGGAGCGUGGCCGACGCCAGUUGCUGGCUUACCUGCCUUGCUUCCGCCGGAUGCGGGCUCUCUCCACUCCUCAUGCAUCCGCCAUGUCGGCCCAAGCAGACGACGAAGUCCAGCCCUGGCCAACAAGCUGUUCGUCACACGCCCAUGUAUGAUGAUUUCAGAAGUAUGGUCAAAUGGAAGGCUGAAGGAAGAUUUUUGAAAUGGCAAAGUCAUCAGCAAGGACAUGAGAGAAGGGGUCUGACUUGUUUCUUCAUAGGGGACAAAGAUGCCCUCUUCAUAGUGGUCAGGGACAAAACUGCCAGCUUGCCAUAUCUGAGUUUUAACUAUCUCUUUUGUUUUGUGCCUUCACUGUUAUUGCGUUUGUCAGAUACUCACAUAUCUUAUUUCUUAAAGGCUCUAAAGUUUUGUUUUGGAUAUGCGCAUUUCAUAUUAGUCAAGACAUGCAUCGGCCUCUGAUCCUUACUUUAGAAGCUUUAGUAAUUAGCUCUAUUUUAUACGACUGGCAACAUAUCAAUAUUCUUCUCCUUUAGCUAUAUAUAGUCAGGAUUCACAAGAAAGGAGAAGAGGCUAUUGAUGGAAUCAUUUUUUGGUUUUAGUCUUGUUUCCUGAUAUUCGGUAGCAUUAUAAUUAGAAAUUUGUGAGUGAGUUUGCCUGCAUCUUUAUAUUAGGAAGUUCUCUACAUGCAAUGGAUACAGAUUGUGAGGGUCACUGUUUUUAGCUGAGAAUGAUUCACUAUUUGAAACUUUUUAUAUAGGACAUGAUAAUAGCAUGUUGGUUAGGGUAAAAAUAUCUUUUCUGAUCCCGAUUUGGUUCAGUUAACAUCUCAUUGUAAUCACUUCCUUCAAUAUUUCUAGCCUCAAUACCAUCAGUCAACUACGUCACGUGCACCUUCUGACUGAGCAGAUGAACUAUCCACUGCCCUGGAUGUUGUGCUGUCCUCCAGUCCCGCUCUGCUACUUCUGACCAAGCACAUCAAACCAAGACUGAUUGCUCUAUCAAACCAAGACUAUAUUCUGCAUUAGUUUUCUUAUAUUUGCGGAGUGUGCAAAUGACUUUCUUCUUAUCUUUACUCAUUAAUAAUAAUAGUGAGGUCAAACUCGGUCAUACGACUGUCACUGUAGGUGCCUUCUCUGGAUCAAUAUUUGAGUUAUCCAUUGGAUCAAUAUUUGAGUGUGCAAAUGAUUGCUCUGUGUUUUGAGUUAUCCAUUGGAUCAAUAUUUUUUCUGAAUUUUAUGAUGCUCAUUUUCAAAAUGAUAUUUGUACUAUGUUUGAAUUUUGAUGCAAGUUUUAACAUGUCAAUGGGAUCACGAUGGCUUGAUUUUUUCCACCAAAUUAUUAUAGAUGUGAUUACCUACAGAUCUUGUUUGCACUUGAUUCUAUCUAGCGGCUCACAUAUGUUAGUGUUGUGUAGAUAGCUAGCAAUUGAUACCCAAUAUCUCAUAUAUACCAAAAAAGAAAAAUUGUUGUAAAUAAGUAGUUCACUACCAUGUGCAAACAAGAUUUUUGAGACACAUGAUCUUCAUAUUGUUUCUAUUUCAAGGUCGGCAGCUUCCCUCAUCUUGGUUCUUAUUUUAGGUUCAAGCUGACUGAGUAGUAUUUGUGAUCCAAAUGACUGGUUUCAGGUAUCAACUUGACAUAUGUAUGUAGCCCUCUCCAUUUCCUCAUUCUCUGAUUCUUUGGGUCAUUUUAGAACUUCUGAUGGGUUAAUUUAUUUGCAGUACAGUGUUGAUGCUGCUCUAGGACACCUCCCACAUUAGUUCUCCAUUGCAAUUGUUCACCCAACGGACAAGACAGACGUCUCAGUGCUUGCCCACCAUUAUUUGACCUGAUACAGUCACCCAUAAGAUCAGUAAAUCAGUAUGCCCCAACUUAUGUUUUUUCCAACUUCAUUAUUUUGGAUUAUCAGUUGUCCUUACUGCUAUCAAUCCAUGGCAAGAAGUAAUGCAACUAAACUACUUCUCUGAGUUUGGUGGGCAGUAAUGUAAUAGGAUUAUUGCCGCAUAGUUAAUUAUUUGAUGAAUAUUGUGUUUAUGGUUAGAUAAUUCUCUCACGGGUUAUUUGAAUAUUGUGUUUAUGUAUCUCAUCAAGCAAGUACUUGUUCUGAUAUGCCAUCCAUAUAUUUUAAGUUAGUUCUUUUAGUUGGACUGAUAAUUUGGUACUGCAGACAAAGCACGUAAUAACUGGGUAUAUUGAAAAGCAUUUUUUAAAGGCAUACGGUGAUUGACUUCAUGU